Molecule: long non-coding RNA, 771 nt
Organism: Physcomitrium patens
Lineage: Eukaryota; Viridiplantae; Streptophyta; Bryopsida; Funariales; Funariaceae
Source: RefSeq, a predicted model, not a curated record
AAUGGGGCUGCUCCGACCAGCCUCACCGGAUCCUCCGGUUCCCACGCCCAGGGAUCUGUCGCUCCCCUAAUAAUGACGCCCGCUCUCACUCCUUCGCAUCUCCCUCUACCCCAAUCUCUCACUCUCCCUGUCUUCAUUUCUUUCUCGUUCUGCUAAGCGCAUGUGACCCAUCGAAGAAACCCAUUCUCCUUACCAGUGUUCCGCGAUUGCGAGGUCUUUUCUCAUCUGUGACAUGGUUGUUCGUUGUUGGAAAGCAGUGAUUCUGGGCUUCACAUCCUCGUGCUCAUGUAUCGUACGUUGCUCAAAGGAAUCCGACCUCCGAAAGUGUGGUGGGCGACACUGGGAAAAUUCUUCACCGCAACAUGAUUAUAUUGCUUCGUGAUUAUGAUAUCAUUUGCCAACAUUCUCAUUCUCCGCGCACUGCAUAGCUUCAUAUCGCUGGGACACAGAAUUGCCAUAUCCCAGCACACAAUUUUAUGCACGACACUCACCUCAAAAACAAUUUCCAGUUGAUAUCUGAUUACAACGCUGCCAAUCCGAGAAAAGGACGUAAAGAAAGAAAGAAAAAGAAAAGGAUACGUAGGAACUAUCCGAUUAGUCUACAGAGUAUGCCAGUAUCAUAAAAACGAUGUAGUUUUUCAUGUAUACCGAUAAAAUGUACUGUAGAGAAUCGAUCUACCAUUGGGAUUUAAACAAUGUUUAACGACGCAUCCCGGUAUUGAUACAAGCUCGAAAAGCAGGAAAAAGAGGAACUCUCUACUCCUAUCUCAA